Molecule: unclassified non-coding RNA, 5553 nt
Filed under: Hevea brasiliensis (rubber tree)
Lineage: Eukaryota; Viridiplantae; Streptophyta; Magnoliopsida; Malpighiales; Euphorbiaceae
Source: RNAcentral
GGCAGCCAAUAUUUAUCAAGCUCUCACUUUACAAACUAAUGCCUUGGUCCCAUUCACUACAAGCGUGGCCUUGAGCUACAACUUCCAUAAACAUGCAUUUUUUUAUUGCACUCUCGUCAUAGCUCAGUGGAAAUUGGAGUGCAUAUUGAUGACUAAUAUCAACUAUUUAAAUUCAAAAUUUUCUUGCAAAACCGGUAAAGCUCCUCAGCAACCACAGUGGGAUACCGUUCUUGCUGCAGAAGAGUGCCUGGAACCUCAACAAAUUUGAUGACACCUUUGGCUCCUUGAGUACUUUCCAUCUCUGCUUUUGACCUCUUUGGAGAUCCUUCAGUUGACAUGACAAGAACUGGUAGCUUUCCAUCCAAAACUGCAAAGAGUUCAAGAAACUCUUCUCAAGAUUAACUGGGUAAAGGAGACCUGUCAAGAAAGCAGCAGGUGCAUAUCGAGCGCCCUUCUUUUAUGUUAGUGCAUAUUUACUUUCAACAAUAUCUGGAGUCAAAUUAUCAGGAUUUGCAUAGACAUGAGAUUUGUAUUGGGAUUGAAUUGCCUUCUUAUUGUUGACACAAGCAUGUUAUACACCAUCUAACCCACACCAGGGGCUUUUAAGGUGCCCCUAAGCAUUCCAUACCUUGCUUCCAUGCUGGAGUCUCGACCAAACACAAUAGGAAGAGGACCAGCCCAGGUUGGUGCAACGGCUGCUAUGGCAGUUGGAUUAACCAAACCCUUCUUUGCAGCACGAAGUAGUAUUGUGGCAGCAUGCCCUCCACAAAAGACCACCAAAUCCUUUUCUGGAUCAAUUACAGAAAAUUUUUAGCAAGGUUCAUGGUCAAUAAUUUUCCACCAGCAAUUUCCAGUAUAAAAUAAUACUCUGGAAAAAGAUUAAAUGUACAUGGUGGUGGACAUAUGAAGAAGCUGGAAAAGGUGUUUCUCUUUUUCAAUUCAAGUGACAAAGAAAGUGAACCCAAGGUUCUAAGAUUUCUUUCAAUCUACAUGUCACCAUUAGGUCCAUGACACACUACGAAGUCCAUGGAAACAAUAAAAUCUUCUCUGCAGCUUUAUAACCAGAGGAUAAAAGAGACUGAAAUGAGAACACCAAGUAUACAAAAUCCAACAGACAUAAAGAUGGCAACGACAGAGCUAAUGACAAUUCCCAAGGAAUUUUUUGAACUGAUAAAUACCCAAGUAAGGUUUAGUUACAAGAGCAAUAAGACAAAAAAGUGCACAGAAUCCAACAGAUGCAAAGAUGUUGAGAACAACAGAGGUGAGGACAAUAAAUCAACAUUUUAACUGACAAAGAAAAACAUAAGAUUAAGAAAUUUUGUUUAUCACAGGGAUUGGGGUUUUCUUUUAUUUAUGUCUUUUUUCAUACAGAGCAAAUUGUGCCCCAACAGGCAGCAUUGGUUAAAGCAAGACUAAAAUCAACAGAAGAGAAGAAAUUUCAGAAAAUCAAACAACAUGUAGAUUAUUUAUAAAAUGAUAUAUAAAGCUAUCGUUAAGAAUGGGUAUGAUAUAAGCCAUCAAAAGAAUGAAAGCAACGUAUUCCUAGUGAUGGUUAAAGACAAUCAACAAAUAGAUAGUCACUUUGUACCAUCUGAGUACCGCAAUGGACUAUCUGGUGCAUUUAUGAAGUCAACUACAAAUUUCUCCAUGAUAUCGGCAUUGUAAUCUAUUUUUGGCCUGUCAGAAUAUCCCAAACCAGGCCAAUCAACAAUUGUAGCCUGCCAAUUAAUUUUACCAACUCGUUGAACAAUAUCUCUGGCCACUGAUCUCCAUUCUUCAACUGUGCUAACAUCAGAAAUGGUAGGUACCAUAAGGAUAUUUUUGGGAGGAUCAGAGCUCUCCUUUGCAUGUUCUUCAUAAUAGAUGUUUAUAGAGUUGUCCUUAAAUUUCCAUUCCCAAUUAUUUGACUGAAAGCAAAGAGAAUGGUAAUAAGAAAAACAUAUGUAACUUAACUUCAUUAUUAAUAUCACAAUGAAUGAUACUGGAAGAAAGAGAAAUUAAAAAAGAUCAUCUGAUUAGAUAAUGGAAUUACAAGUUCUGCACAAUUCUUGACCUAGCACAAAAUGUUGCAGCUGCAUACAUUAAGGUUUUGGCAAAGAAUAGUUUAACAUUGUGUCAUUGUUAAACAAUGGGGUAAGAAACCAUGAUCUGUGUUAUGCACAAAUUCCUCACGGAGUCACAUGUUUGUAGGAAUUAAACUGAGACUGUAGAAAGCAUGCAUAUGGAAAUUUUACUACUUGAAAUUGAUUAGCUUCCUCAUAAAUGUUGACCACGUGUCAGAUUUUCAGUGGAAAGCAAUUAUAGUGGCUGACAUUGUAGAAUGAGAGAGCAUUGAGAUUCGAAGGAAGUCUCCUUGAGAAAACCUCUCUUUCAAGUCUUUCCACACAUCAACUGCUUUGACUAUCCAUAAAAUGCUCUUUAAUGGGAUUGUCGGUUUAUCGGCCACGGAGGCUGUGGAGUAAUCCAGAGAAGUUGAAGAAGCUUUAACCGAAAUGGGCUUUGGAAAGAGAGAUGAUCUGUAAGUUCUGCAAGAAAGAGUGAGAGACGGUGUGGAAGAGAUGAAGAAUGUAGCAGAGAAGGCCAUGGUUUUUGAGCUAGGGUUGUGGGAACAGAGAAUGGGAGGGAGGGCCUUGAUGAGAAGUACUUCAAUUGUCAACGUGCUUGAAGCAUAGCCUUGACAGUAGUUGACACUCUGAUUUUUGGUAAUUUCCAAAGGAGAUAUUAAAAAAAUGAGACUUUUGGUAAUAUUUCAAUAACUUUGGGGUCGUUUCUAAUAAUUUUUGGACGGCGGCGUUUAGGCGGGCUUUUACUUGCAGCAACGGCAUGUCGUUGAUACCUCGCUGUCCCCAGGCGCCCGUGUUCUUUUCUUCCAAAAAAGUACAACUCAAUUAAAAAUUAUUGUAUGCGGAGAACAAGCAUUCGUGAGAAAUUGCUUUUUAUCUACUAGAACACUUCCUAUACUUAAAAAAUCCAAUUGUAGCACACCAUCUAAUUAUGACCUGCUAUAUUGUUUCAUACAUCUGCCUUCUUUUCCGGCUAGUUCCAUUAGCAAGCCAAACAUCCAAUGCCUAUAAUCACUCAACAAAUGGGAAAACAUUCAUAUAAAUUUCAAUAAGACGCCCAUAUUCAUCAGAACUAUCAGAAUCACGCUAACCCCAUCCAUCUUAAUAGCUUGCUCAAGUAACACCCGUAAAUAGACGAAGGUCCACUAUCCCCCCAUUGUCUUCAGAGCUCUAUCUGCAAUGAGUCUGAUUGCAUUUUUUUCACUUGUUCCAAUUUUUUUGUAUCAGAUUAUUGCCCUUCUUAAAUCACAGAAACUUUAUGUUUCACUUGCAUCAUUCUUCACUGCUUAGUGGUCCACUGGUCCCUAAUUACCAGUAAUCUUCACAUGAACAAGAACCAUUUCUGAAAGAGUGGAAGCGGCUUCUAUCUCUGACCACAAUCUCCAAUUUAUAAACCUGAGAAAUCAGCUUCAUCACUACAUGACAGUCCCUGCAGAUCCUCAAAUUCUUAACUAUUCUUAUAGUCUUUCCCUCACACAAUCUUGCUAUCCCAAAAGCUACUGCAAGCUUUUCACUAUGCGUAGACACUGAAUCUUCUUUCUCUUCCUCAUCUAUGUCAUGCAAAACACUCCCAAUCUCUGGAACAUAACCUCCUUCAACCCUAAGCCUCAAAAUUAUGUCUUUCAGCAUCUCAUAAGCCUCUUCCAUAAUUUUAUCUUGUUUUGGACCCGCCAUAAAAGUGUACAUGACCUUGUCAACUUCAAUCAUGCUCCAACCAGGAGUUUUUUUAAUUCUCUGAUCAGUCAUUGAUCUUCUCACAGCAGCAACAUCCUUCCAUUUCCCUGCGACUGCAUAAAUGUUUGACAAUAGAACGUGGUCACUAGAGUUGUUUGGGUCGAGCUCAGAAAGCCUUUCCUUUACCUUUUCGGCCAACUUGACAUUACCAUGAAUACUACAAGCCCCAAGAAGUGUCCGCCAAAUGACAUCAUUAGGUGGAAUUGGCAUUUGAAAAACAAAUUCAUAGGCCUUCUGCAGCUGACCAGCUCGACCAUAUAGAUCAACCAUGCAACCAUAAUGCUCAAUGGCUGGUUUUAUAUUGUACACAUCUCUCAUCUUAUUAAAAUAUUCACAUCCUUGCUCGAUCAAUCCAGCAUGACUACAAGCAUAUAAAAGUGAAAUAAAGGUGAUUCCAUCAGGCCUAGUUUCAGACCUUUCCAUCUCAUGGAAAAGCCUAAUAGCUUCUUCUCCAUGACCAUGCAUUGCAAGUCCCACCAUCAUUGAAGUCCAAGAAACAAUGCUCUUUUUCUCUGGCAUUCGUUCAAAGACCAGUCGAGCCAUACUUAAAUUCCCACAUUUCGAGUAAGCAUCUAGUAACGCAUUAUUCACUGAUAUAAUCCAAAUAAGCCCAGCUUUCUCAAUAAACCCAUGUAAUAUUUUCCCAAACUCGAACGCUCCUGCCUGUGCACAUGCUGAAAGGACCCCUGUCAGGCUUACUUCAUUCGGUCUAGUCCCAUCCCUCUGCAACUUCCUAAAAAACCCAAAAGCCUCAUCGAAAUAACCAUUAUGAGCAAACCCAACAAUUAUGGUACUCCAGGAUACAUCAUCCUUUACAGGCAUCUCCAUAAACAUUUUCCUUGCAAGCUCUAGCUCCCCUUCUUUCACAUGUCCCGCAAGCAUCACAUUCCACGAGGUCAAGUCCCUAAAGGGCAUCAAAUCAAACAUUUCCCUCGCACCCUUGACAUUCCCAACCCUAAAAAAUGCAGUGAUCACCGCAUUCCACGCAACAACAUUUGGUUCAUGCAUUUCGUCGAACACCUUCCUCGCCGAUCGAAUACACCCACAUUCUCCGUACAUGCUGACCAAAGUUGUCCCAACAAAAAGAUGGGCAGUUAACCCAUGAGUCAAUGCUUGGCAAUGCAAUUGAAUUCCCGCUCUCAAGGACCUUAAAUUAGCAGUCGCCUUGAGAAUGAAAGCAAACGAGAAACUAUCAGGAGAGGAAAGCAUUUUCUUCCUCAUUUCAAUGAAUAAAAUGAUUGAAUUUUGCUGUUUACCCGCUUCGGCAAGGCCUCGAAUGAGGGUGUUAUACAUGAAGACAUCUGGCUUUGGAGUGUGGCGAAAGAGGCUGCAAGCAUAGUCCAGUGUAUCGGGGAGUACCACUGUGCAGCGGAGGAGUAGUUUUCCAACAAGGAAAGGGUCAGUGUCGAGGCCGGUUUUGAGUACAUUGGCCUGGAUUUGCUUGAGGGACGUUAGGGUCUUGCAACUAUUCAACAGAGAGAGACAGUGGACAAGCGAGUUGUUCAUUAGACAGUACCAGUGCUCUGUGGGCUGUGCACUUAAAAAACAAUAAUAAAAAAGAUGAUUAUAUGUCAACAGUUAAAAGGAUAUUUUCUUUUAUAUGCUUCUGCCUUGGUGUUAAUCAUCAUUCAUCAUUUGCUGUAUUUGCAGAUUCCUCACUUGAAGCCUGCUGAAUAUAAGAAGUCUAGGUUACAUUGAAAUAGAACUGUGAACCAUGUAUAUGUGUUGCUGGGAAGUGCUGUCAGGGAGAGGUUUG